CCUCUAAUUCAUGCGGCAUUCUUCUCUCAAUCUCCAGAGCUGAAAGAUCUUCCUAAUUAAUUGAUAGGUCGACAAAGUUCAAAUUUUUAGCCUCAGGAGCAAGAAGAAGAAGAGAGGAAAAUGGUGAAAAUGGCAACGUACUUCGCAAUGACAUUAGGAGCCUUCAUAUUCUGGCAAUCUAUGGAGAAGGUUCAUGUCUGGAUCGCCCUUCAUCAAGAUGAAAAGAAGGAGAGACUGGAGAAGGAAGCAGAGAUCAAGAGAGUCAGAGAAGAGCUCCUUCGACAAGCCAGAGAGAAGGAAGAUACUCUUGCUUGACGUCUCUCCCCUUUGUAUUGGCAAUUGCUUUCCUUAAAUUUUCUGUUUGUCCUAUUGAGUUCUAAUAUGCAUAAUUUUAAUUCUCUAGUAAGCCGAUCGGCUUUGAUUGUCACAGGUACUUUACUGUUCUGUUCUACCAAUCCCCAACUUGUUUCGAUCAUCAGAACUAAAUUGCAUCUGUAUUUUCACCUGCUCUUCAUUGUGUACCUAAUG
This 528-nucleotide unclassified non-coding RNA is filed under the name Hevea brasiliensis (rubber tree). Lineage: Eukaryota; Viridiplantae; Streptophyta; Magnoliopsida; Malpighiales; Euphorbiaceae. The record is from RNAcentral.